Non-coding RNA from Alexandromys fortis (reed vole), 459 nucleotides. NCBI's taxonomy places the organism in Eukaryota, Metazoa, Chordata, Mammalia, Rodentia, Cricetidae. The record is from the annotation of a RefSeq genome assembly.
CACCCAAACAAAUCCUUUCACAGCGUCGGUAAAAGGUAGCUAGACAGACGGGACCCAAAGAGGGAGGCAUCGACCCCAUCCUGUGUGGACACUGCCAUGGGUUUCUGGUUCUUCAACUGCUUGGCCCUUUGUCUCCUGGUGGUAGGUCCAGUGGACCCUAGAAUUACCCAGACACCAAAACAUCUGGUGGCAGUCACAGGGAAUGAAAGGACCCUGAAAUGUAAACAGUAUCUAGGUCACAAUGCUAUGUACUGGUAUAGACAAAGUGCUAAAAGGUCCCUAGAGCUCAUGUUUUCCUAUAACUAUCAAGCACUUGUUGAAAACCAGACUAUCCAAAGUCGCUUCCAACCUCACAGUCCAGCGAAAUCCGACUUAGAGCUUCAGAUCUCCGCCCUGGAACCUGACGACUCAGCCACAUAUUUCUGUGCCAGCAGCCAAGACACAGCCCUGCAGAGCUAA